UAUUAGUUAUCAAUGGACCUUUGUUCAUUUAUUUGUUUAUAUGUGGUGCUGAGAAUUGAACCCAGUGCCUCACACAUGCUAGGCAAGCGCGCUACCACUGAGCCACAAUCUCAGCCCAUAAAUUCAUUUUUUAAGGAAAUGUCCUUUUUCUGAUAGCCCGCAGAGAUUUGCCUUUUGAAUGUGCCCGCCUACAGGAUUUUUAGUUUUUAGUUUCUCUGAGCGUCUCCACCACUUUUGUUCUCUUGGUCCAGCUCAGCCCAGUCCUUACUGGGGUCAGGAGGGCACCCUGGGCAGAUGCAGCACCCCUCUGCUCCCCAUACCCUUUCAUAGACAUCCUGUAUGGGGUGAGGGACAAGGGAAAGUAGCAGGUCCAACUUGGUUAAGCACGGUGGUGAGAACCCACACGUUAGGAAUUUAAAGUCCUCUACACCAACCAUUAGACUUCUGAAUUUGCAAUAAGUAAAAAUGAAAGGCCUGAGUACUUCAGUGUUGAAUCAGUCCAAUCACAAAAAUAAUCAAACAGCAGAAAUAAACACAGAGCCUCUUCCCAUAUGUAGUAAGUGCUUUGCUGGGCUUUGUGUUCCUGCCAUGAUGCUCUGUCUCACCACAGGCCCAAAGCAAUGGGGCCAAUUAAUUAUGAGCUCAAACCCCCCAAAUUCUGAACCCAAAUAAACUUUUUUUCUUAUAAAUUAAUUGUCUCAGGUAUUUCAUCAUGGUGUUGGAAAACCAACUAAUAUAAGCAGAAAGGGGGACAGGAGAAAAUCAAGGGAGGACCUUGUUUUCAAAGAAGAUGAAACCCUGGAGGCAGGAAGUGCUUCCAGUGCCCAAGGAGUCAGGCCCUGGGAAGCAGGUCUGUGCUUCAGGUUGCUUUCUCUGCCCCCGAAUCUUGACAUUAUCCUUGACUUUGUCUCCAGGUUCUGCUUCAGCAUCUUUAUUCCAAAGAAACAAGGCUUUUAAAAACAUUUUCAUAGGCCCUGGCUUGCUUACUAUGAGAAGGCAAACACAUUAGAAUGCAGCUACUUUCCAAAUUAAGUAGGAUUUUUUUGGUAAAUACUUUUGAUGGGAUGUUAUAUUGAAUCAUAUGAAAUUGCCAUUUAGCAAGGUCGACAAAUGGCCUGAUAUUUAGCAAUUUCAUAUGGUUCAACCUAAUGACUUUGCUUUUGAAAUCGUUUGGCCAUAAGUGCUGCAUUUAAUUUACAGUUUGCUAUGAUUUCUCAGCAACCAUUAUGGAAUUUAUAUGAAAAGAAAAUUCUAACCUACAGAUUGUGAUUAGAGAUAAUGAUAUUAUAAAUGUUCAUGAAUACCACAUUUAACAAUUAAUGGAGUUGACAUAAUGUGGCAUCUCUAAACAUUCC
This 1355-nucleotide long non-coding RNA is filed under the name Marmota monax (woodchuck). The record is from RNAcentral. Lineage: Eukaryota; Metazoa; Chordata; Mammalia; Rodentia; Sciuridae.